CUCAACAACUCUCAGACUUGAGAGGCAGAACCGGCAACUCCCCAGAACUCUAGAUCUGUUCAGACUAGAACAGCAACACCGGUUCCUCUCUGGAUCUCCAGCUCAGUGACUCUCAGACUUCAAAGGCAGCACCAGCUCCUCCGUGGAUCUCCAGAUCCACAACAUUCAAACCAACAUGGCUCCUCCCUGGGUCUGCAGCUCCACGACCCUCAAACUAGAACAAGACCUCUCCUCCCUGGGCCGCCAGCUUCCUGACCUUCAAACUACAACAACACUGCUCCUCCCUGGGUCUGCAGGUCCAUGACCCUCAGACCAGAACAAGACCUCUCCUCCCUGGGUCGCCAGCUUCCUGACCCUCGAAUUACAACAACCUUGCUCCUCCCUGGGUCUGCAGCUCCACAACCCUGAAACUAGAACAAAAUUUCUCCUACCUGAGUCGCCAGCUUCCUGACACUCGAACGACAACAAAAUUGCUCCUCCCUGGGUCGGCAGCUCCACGACCCUCAAACUCGAACAAGACUUCUCCUCCCCAGGUUGCCAGCUGCCAGACCCUCGAAUUACAACAACAUUGCCCCUCCCUGGGUCUGCAGCUCCACGACCCUCAGACUAGUACAAGACCUCUCCCUGGGUCGCCAGCUUCCUGACCGUCGAACUACAACAAAAUUGCUCCUCCCUGCGUCUGCAGCUCCACGACCCUCACACCAGAAGAAGACCUCUCCUCCCUGGGUCGCCAGCUUCCUGACCCUCGAACUACAACAAAAUUGCUCCUCCCUGGGUCUGCAGCUCCACGACCCUCAGACCAGAACAAGACCUCUCCUCCCUGGGUCGCCAGCUUUCUGACCCUCGAACUAUAACAACAAUGCUCCUGCCUCAGUCUGCAGCUCCACGACCCUGAAACUAGAACAAGACGUCUCCUCCCUAAGUCUCCAGCUCCAACACCCUCAGAUCUGAGCAGCGGCAGCACCAGCUCCUUUCUGGGUCUUCUGUUUCACGAUCCUUAAAUUAGAACAGCAGCACCAUCUUCUCCCUGGGUCUCCAGCUCCACGAAACUCAAGCUAGAAUAGCAGCACCGGCUCCUCUGGGAUCUUCAGCUCCACGACCCUAAGACAUCAGUGGCAGCACCGGCUCCUCCCCUGGACUCCAGCUCCAGGACCCUCAAACUUGAACAGAAACACCAGCUCCUCCCCAGGCCUCCAGCUCCUUGACCCUCAUAAACAAUCCCUUCUCAUGAAAUGUAGCAGUCAGGAAAACUGUAGAGGAAGUAAAUAAAUAAAUGUUUUCCUUUCAAA
Molecule: long non-coding RNA, 1289 nt
Filed under: Homo sapiens (human)
Lineage: Eukaryota; Metazoa; Chordata; Mammalia; Primates; Hominidae
Description: HSALNT0268075
Source: RNAcentral